AUCAUGACCUGGCAGGGGGGAUGCCACGAUCACAAAGGUGGUUCUCCCAGAGUGAGGUUUAUCCAUUGCACCUCAGAUGUGCUGACCCCUGUCACCUCCCCAAAUGUAGAAUCUUUGUUUUUCUGUUUUUUCGUUUUUUGAGACAGAGUGAUAGAGUCUUGCUCUGUCACCCA
RNAcentral lists this small nuclear RNA (173 nucleotides) under Cebus imitator (Panamanian white-faced capuchin). RNAcentral's name for it is "U1 spliceosomal RNA (ENSCCAG00000016827.1)". It matches the Rfam family "U1 spliceosomal RNA". Rfam says of the family: U1 is a small nuclear RNA (snRNA) component of the spliceosome (involved in pre-mRNA splicing). The record is from RNAcentral. Lineage: Eukaryota; Metazoa; Chordata; Mammalia; Primates; Cebidae.